Molecule: long non-coding RNA, 1615 nt
Filed under: Homo sapiens (human)
Lineage: Eukaryota; Metazoa; Chordata; Mammalia; Primates; Hominidae
Description: HSALNT0325420
Source: RNAcentral
UGAAAAGAACUUUUAGUUUCAGGGGUACAUGAGCAGGUUGGCUCUAUAGGGAGGAGACUGUCAUUCACCAGCAAACCCCUGCCCCCUCACUUUUUCUUUUUUGUAAUUGGAAGUUCAGGUUGAACUGCUCUGUAGUUAUUCACCCACUUCUGCUGGUCAAAGGCCCAUGAGGAUUUAAAUGACUAAAUAGGCCAUAAAAUGCCAACCUUUUAGACGUCUAAAAAGUGUCUGCUGGAUCAAACAGUCAUCACGAACCACCCUUAGAUUCCUCUGCCACUCACUCUGCUCCCUGUGUCUGGGACACCCUGAGUCCACAGUGACUCUUUGCCAAAGUAUAAAGAAACCACCAUGUACCUUUUCAAAAAUGUCCACUUGUCCUUAAAGUCAUGAAUAAAGGAAGAGAUGGCUUCCAGAUAUGCAACUGGACUUCUGACAGCCAUCAUCCUCUAAAAUUUCCCUGUGUUUUGACUGAAGUUAUCCACCCACUUCUGCUGGUUCCUGGCUCACAUAAACAUUGAGCAAGUAACUUUCCAUUAGACCCAGAGGAUAGACUAGGAUAGAGUUCCGAGUGUCUGAAAAUUCCUGGUCCCCAACAAAACUGUGUUCUGCUCAAUAAUUUAUUUCGUAAGAAGUUAUAAUAAGUCUAGUCAUUAAAUCAAAAGAGAAAAACCUUAAUGAAGUAUAAUAUUGCUUGGUACUUGUUUUUGUCAGUUCCAUUUCUUCAUUAACUUUUUGAUUGGGAAAAUAAAGAUAAUUACACAAAUCUAUUCUCAAAUUUAGCCAUGGAUGAUUUGAUUUCUCUUUCUGUCUCUUCUGUGCCUGUGCAUACACACACACACACACACACACACACACACUCAGAGAACAGAGUUGUCUCUUUCUCUCUCUAUAUAUAUACAGAGCAUAUAUAUGUGUGUGUAUAUAUAUGUAUAUGUAUGUGUAUAUAUAUGUAUAUAUAUAUAUAGAGAGAGAGAGAGAAAGAUAGAGAGAAAGAUGCUCCUCAACUUAUGAUGUGUUAUGUUCUGAUAAACCCAUGGUAAGCUGAAAAUAUUCCAAGUCAAAAAUGCAUUGAAUGCACCUAACCUUUCAAAAACCAUAGCUUAGCCUAGUCCACUAUAAAUGUGCUUAGACACUUAACAUGUAAAUGUGGAAUACUUACAUCAGUUUACAGUUGGAGAAAAUCAUCUAUCACAAAGUCUAUUUCAUCAUAAAGUAUUGAAUAUUUCAUGUAGUUUAUUGAAUUCUGUACUGAACAUGAAAAACAGAAUGGUUGUAUGGCUACUUGAAGUACAGGUUCUACUGAAUGUGUUUCACUUUCACACCAUUGUAAAGUUGAAACCAUCAUAAGUUAGGGACCAUUUGUGUAUAUACCUAUAUGAGAUAUAUGUUAGUAAGAUAUAUAUGUAAACAACAUAUAUGUAAAUGAGAUAUAUAAAAACAUAUAAAUAACACAUAGAUCUCCUUGUUGAAUCCUACUGUGUACAAGACAUAAUUUUUUAUGCUGGGAUUCAGCAGUGAAGAAAAGGGAGGAAAGCUCUUGGCUUCACAGAGCUCACACUCUGGUGAGGGAGAAAACAAAUAUACAGAAUAUAAGAAGGUGAGGGCUGGGCAUAGA